RNAcentral lists this transfer RNA (86 nucleotides) under Gammaproteobacteria bacterium. RNAcentral describes it as "tRNA-Ser". It matches the Rfam family "tRNA". Rfam says of the family: Transfer RNA (tRNA) molecules are approximately 80 nucleotides in length. Their secondary structure includes four short double-helical elements and three loops (D, anti-codon, and T loops). The record is from RNAcentral. Lineage: Bacteria; Pseudomonadati; Pseudomonadota; Gammaproteobacteria. RNAcentral also lists the same sequence under 1 other name.
UGGACGGGUGGCCGAGUGGCUUAAGGCGCACGAUUGGAAAUCGUGUGGGCUAACGCCCGCGUGGGUUCGAAUCCCACCCCGUCCGU